GAUGAACGCUGGCGGCGUGCCUAAUACAUGCAAGUCGAGCGAACAGAUGAGGAGCUUGCUCCUCUGACGUUAGCGGCGGACGGGUGAGUAACACGUGGAUAACCUACCUAUAAGACUGGGAUAACUUCGGGAAACCGGAGCUAAUACCGGAUAAUAUAUUGAACCGCAUGGUUCAAUAGUGAAAGACGGUUUUGCUGUCACUUAUAGAUGGAUCCGCGCCGCAUUAGCUAGUUGGUAAGGUAACGGCUUACCAAGGCAACGAUGCGUAGCCGACCUGGGAGGGUGAUCGGCCACACUGGAACUGAGACACGGUCCAGACUCCUACGGGAGGCAGCAGUAGGGAAUCUUCCGCAAUGGGCGAAAGCCUGACGGAGCAACGCCGCGUGAGUGAUGAAGGUCUUCGGAUCGUAAAACUCUGUUAUUAGGGAAGAACAAAUGCGUAAGUAACUAUGCACGUCUUGACGGUACCUAAUCAGAAAGCCACGGCUAACUACGUG
This 497-nucleotide ribosomal RNA is filed under the name uncultured bacterium. Its description in RNAcentral is "partial 16S ribosomal RNA". It matches the Rfam family "Bacterial small subunit ribosomal RNA", at positions 28 to 507 of the family's 1533-position model. The record is from RNAcentral.